GUCCGGCUCCAUUUGCGUCCAGCCUGGAAGCCGGCUGAGAGAGCCCGUAGGCUGAGGAGUCAGGAGGGUGGUGAACUCUGCUGUCGUGAGGGGCUCUGGGUGCUGGCGAGGUGCUGUUUCUCGACCUGGGUGCUGGUUCCGUUGCCAUGCUCAGCUCGUACAGAUUUACCCAGCCAUACACAUCUGAUUUAUGCAAUUUUCUCUAUGUAUAUUUAACUCCAGCAAAAAAGUUAAGGAAAAAAAAAGCAUCCUGGAGCAGGUUAAAUGCACCUCCUUUUCUGUCCAAAGGGAGGUGAGCACAGGUGCCCGGCUUCCCCCGUGUGCCUGCCCCUCCCCUGUGCCACCGGAGUCCCUCCUAGUCUCUGAGACUCGUGAAGCCUCAGGCUUGGGGAGGCUGCCUCCAUCGAGCCUAGGGGAUGUGGAUCUGUGGGGUCAAUCCCACCACUACAGUUUAGGCCCUGGAAGCGGGGCUCUGGGGCUGAAUGCUGUCCCUCCCCGGCUGGGUUACUUGGGACCUCCCUGCCACCAGUUGCGUCCAGGGCUGGGGUCUGGGGGCGGGGGCAGGCUUGGUGUAGGAGGUCAGCGUGCAGAGGCACAGGCUGCCUGGUCCCUGGGUUGUGUCCUGACAGCUCUGUGCACCCCCAGCCGGUGGGGUGGGUGGGCUGGCAGAUGGGGCUGUCCACAGUUCAGUGCCUCCUCACCCUGCCCCCCAGUGGAGGCCAGGGAGCAGGGGCACCUGCUUCUCCGCCAGUCCUGGGUGAGGAAACCCCGGGGGCCUCCUCUGACCUUGCGCUUCGCUCCUAAAGGUCACUGCACGGUGCUCUAGGGGGUCAGGUUCCCGCAGUCGGGGACCGGGGGAAGGCAGUAAUCAAUCUGGGCCCCGCCAGGCCAGGGGCGCCGAUCCAGAGCAGCCCUCCUGUGCCCGCUGCCCGGCAGGGUUAUUUAUAACCGCGGGUCGCCUUACCUCCUGACCUUCAGCCGGAGCCCAGCGAUCUGCAGGCAUUAGCAUCUCCUCGCCGCCCACUGCGAACAAACAGUCCUCUGUGUGCACCCUGGGCAGGCCUCGCUGCAGCCCUGCAGGAAGCAGGAUGCUGACCCGGAGUCGGCGCCCCCUCGCUCCCUAGGGUGGACCCAGCCACGUGUGAGUUGGGGGGAGGUGGGUGCGGUGGGAGAAAGGUGCGAGAAAGACUUAGAACUACUCUUGUUCCCUUGGUUCCCAGGUUGAAAAUGUUGGUCUAUUCUGGGCGGCAGUUUUAUUUACAAUGUGGGGCUCCCCAGCCUGGGUCUGCCCAAAGGGGUGCCCUCUUCAAAGCCAGCAGGAAGGACGCAGCACUGGUGACUGGACACCCCCUCCCCCCGCACAGGCGUGGUCCCUGGAAUCACACAGGACAAGCUGUGCUCUCCCCAGCAGCAGCCCUGCCUUCUUAGAUGGCAGCUGAAGCUCAGAGAGGGAAGCGACUGGUCCAACGUCACACAGCCACCCAUGGCAGAUUCCCCAGCUCCUGGCUGAUGGGAAGCAGCUGGAUCAGAACUCCUGAUUAUGACCUGGAGGAGCCACUGUAAAAGGAGGCUGGGGAUAGGGAGACGGCCCAUUCAUUCAACACGUUUUUGUUGGUCACUCACUGGGCGCCAGGCACCAUUCCAGGCAGAAAUCCUCACCCUUGUGGGGCUGAUAGUCUGGGGACCUGGAGGGACCUGGAGCCUGCGGUCCCUUGAUGGAGUCCCAUUCCAGGCAGCUGCUGAGGGUCUUGAGUCCCAGCGAGGGAGACUGAGUCAGGGAGCGAGGGCUGGGCAGAGGGAGGGUGGGUGUGGGCCUGCAGCCUUGGGCUGAGUAUUUGGUGCGGCCGGCCAGCCAAAGCCAAGUGAGUGUCAACAUCCCAAGCCACGAGGGCUUUGUCUCAACAGUGGGCGCCCUCCCCUGCACGCCUUCAGAUGACCUUGCACCCAGAGCGGAGGGUGAAGGUCCCACACAGUGCCCAAUCUUGGCAGUCAUCCUGGAGGAAGCCAUGGACUGGGCCCAGCCAAGGGGCUGGUUCUGCCCAGUAUGGGAGGAACUGAGUCAGGAGGUUUGAGGAGGGCAGCUGUUAGGGAGGAGGGGGCCUGGAUGCUUCCUUCCUUUUUGGCCAUGCUCUCAGACACUUUGAAGCACUUGGAAAACUUUGGCUGUGUGACUUGCCCAUCCCCUUGCCCUCUCUGGGCCACAGUUCCCACAAAUAAAAGUGAAGGGGUCAGCUGGGAUGAGCAGUUUCAGCUCUGGCUGCCUGGGGUUCUUGUCUAGGGACUCAGAGACCCUCCCACUCGAGUCUGGCUCAGCCGUGAGUGUUCCCCUUGGCCCAGUGAAGGCCAAGGGCACAGGCCGGGGGUGGAGUCAGGAGUUGCCGCAGCUGUGGGUAGCUGGGUGGCCAACAACCCCUUUCAGUGUGUGAGGAAGUGCCGAGUACACUUAUGUGUGCCUGUGUGAGCAUGUAGGACGUGCUGUAGCCACGUGUGUGUAGGAGUGUGCCUUUGUGGGUAGGCGGUUGUAUAAAACAUUAUGUACACGGGAAGGAGUGUGUGUCUUGGUGUGUGUUUAUGUGGGGAUCAAGAGGACAGUGUGUACAAGUGUGUCUGUGGGGUCACACAUGUGUAGGUUUCAGAUGAGGAAACCGAGGCGCAGAGAGGCAAAGGGAUGUGUCGAAAGCCACACAGCUGGAGCAAGUGGUGGAACUGGCCUGGGAACAUGGGUCGGUGUGUUUUCCCUCCAUCCCACAGCGACAUGGUGGGGGUGGGGGUGGGGAGUUGGCAGAGGUAGCCCUUUAAAAACUGCGGUAGGGCCACCACAAGUAAACAGAAGCCUUGACAGCUGUCGGGCCCUCUCUCCAAGCACAAGGCAGAGGCUGGCCCUGUUUCCAGCAGAAGGCCUUGGUCCGGGCCGGGCCGCCUUGACUCACAGGACUCAGGCUCGCGUUGCUCCUUUGUGGGCUGGAGGGGCCCCGAGAUCACAGACCCCGGAGUGGGUGUGAGCACCGUCUCUGCACCCAGAAGCUGAGAUCAGCUUUUGGGCUGCUCUUUCUUCAGUCAUUUACUGGUUUCCCAUGAUAAUAAUAACUACCCCUGCUGAGCUUUAUAGUUCACAAAGUACUUUCACAAACACUCUUUCAUUUACUCCUCACAUCAGCCUUGUGAUGAGGAGUUAAUAUGCCCAUUUUAUGGAAACAGAAACUGGAGUUCAGGGAGGGAGGUUCUGGGAAUGGCCUCAGAUCAGAAGGCCAGCAGUGGCCCUCACGCCAGCAUUCCCGAGCCCCGGGCCAGACCCGGCUCCUUCCUUCCACGGGGCAGCCUUCUCAGAGGAGUGCGGUGGCUUCUGGAGGGGCCGGCCUAUCUCAGUCUGCCAGCAGUGACCAGACAAUCUGCUCUCAUCAUCUGGGAGCUGGGUGAAGACCCCUCCCCACCCUCACCUCCUGCAAAUAUUGUGUGUUGGGGGGGGGGACACAAAGAAGCAGAAGUGACUGCUGAGUGAGGGAGCUGGAGAGAGUACUGGGGAGGGGUCCCCUGCCGCCUUGACCUUGGGCCCCGCAGAUGCAUGGAAGGGACCAGAAGUUCCUGGAACACGAGCCCAUCGCCGGGGUGCCCAGUGCCAGCUGUUGCCAUCUGCUUGUGGCAAAACGAGAAAAAUAGGACAAUACAGUGAAGUUUUCCUAAAGCUAGACCUACUCGAUCUGAAGUACGGCCCUUUCCCUGGAGCUGUGUAUUUUCAGGGUCUGUGCAUGUGUGUGUUUAAAAAGGACCUUUUCUUUGACAUUUUCUUUAAUGUCCUUAACUGAGCAAAAUAAAAGACUAGUGACCAUGUCAGAUCCUAAAUCGGCUUUUUGGAAAUGUUAGUGACUAAGGAAUCCGAAUGCCUGGGAAUCACGGAGCUGGCCCUGAUUCGGCGAGCCCUGGCACGGAGGACUUGUUUUUGAAUUCAGGGAUGAUCUCUGAACAGCUGGAAAACCCCUGGGGGAGGAGAGGUUGGGGUUCCUGCCUGGACUCAGCCCCUCAGCCCUGGAUCCCCAGGAAACCUGAGCAGAGGGAACAUUAGAGUCACUGCACAGGGAAUUCUGAGAAAGGCCUCGGGCUGAUUCUCCGUGCUGCACCCCCUCAGCCUCUUCUCUGACCCCCAGCCAGAGGGAAUGUACCCUCCAACCUCAGCCCUGCCUCCCCCAGCCCCCCAAGGCUGGAUCCAAAAUAGCCCAGGCCCGGGAGGAGACGUCAUGGGUCAGACUGGCUGCCUGCCCUCAGAGAGGGCAUGUCGGUAAUGCCCAAGGCCAAAUAUAGAGGGACACCAGACACCGCUGGGCCACCCAGGGCCUGGGGAGCCCGGCCGGCGUCGCAGGGCCUCCCCCACCCUCAUCCCUUCCCAGCCCUGCACCCCCAACCCGGGCUCCGGAGGCCAGCGCCUCCUGGCCAGGCCCACCCAGCCAGGACAUGUCCCAGCAAGCCCAGAGCCGAGCUGGAGGCUGGCCCGACGGGGUGCUGGGCCUGGGCUGGGCCUGGGCUGGGCCUGGGCGUGGGGACACCCCUCCAUCUGGGGGUCUCAAAGCACUUUUAUAAGCGUCACUUCCCACAGGCUGCUGCCGAGAUCAGGAGGCCAAGAGGACCCGGUGUCUCCGGGGGGCCGGCUCCUGCCUCUGUUCCUCCCAGCUCGGGAAGGAGACCAGGCCGUAAACCUGCGGCGUGGGAGGCGUGGGAGGCGGGGGGCGGGCAGGCGGCCAGGUCUAACCCGAGUGAACUCCCGGUGGAAUCGAACUGCAAAUAAUGAGUCCUGAUUGCCGAGGUGGCCUCCACCCGCCACUCCCGGGAAUUAAAAGUCAAAGGGCAGAGCUGCUGACGCAAAUGUCAAGGGAGACACGCGGUGUGGAACAGCUGGGAUCCUGCUCCCCGGCCCGCCGCCCAAGGUCGCCGCCCCCAGCGCCCUGGAUCCGGCGUCCCCCAGGCUGGGCCCCGAGAGGCCCCCGUUCCCUAGGCGCAGCAGGGAAGGGGGCUCGGCUCCCUCUCCCUCCUCCUGGUUCUGAGGUCAACAGAACUCGAUUGGAGGUUCAUCAGAAAUCCCCGUGCAACGGCGUUGCCGGACGCCUGCUGACGCGGAGAGGCAGCAGCUCGAGUCCUGUGGGCCUUCCCCGCCUCCCCCGCCAACAAGGGGGAGGAAACUUCUGCCGACGGGGGCGCGUGGCUCGCUAACACCUGCUGUGUCCCCUAGGUCGUCCCAGGGCCGGCACACCGUGGGCAGCUGCACCGUGGUCUGUGCACCAGUGGUGACCCCCAGCGGUCAGUGUGGGACUUGACCUUGGACCCAGCACUGAAGCCUCCGCCAGGCCAGGGGCUGGGAAACCCCGGGGGCGCCAGGUUUGGAGAUUUGAUCUUGGAAGGGAGGUGUUGGCGUUCGGAGGUGGCGUUCGGAGGUGUUUUUCUCUGUGCUGAAUUUUCCUAAUCGCCCUGUGGCUGGAUCUCAGCCUGUGUCCCACUGUGAGCCAGUCAGCCUCAACAUGUCUAAGAGGCGCAUCAUCACUGAGCCCCUACCGGCUCUUCCUCCUGACUUCCCUAUUUCUAUUAAUAGCACCACUACCCUCCCAGUCCCUCAGGCUCCAAACCUCCGUGUCAUUGUCCACAUCUCCCCACACUGGGCUGGCUGACCGGUCCUGUCCCUCCUCACCGUGCAGGUCAUUCUUCCACCCCUCCUCCGAUACUCAUGGCCACUGCCCCAGUCAAUGGACCUCUCACCUGAGCUACUGUCAUCCUCGACAAUGCCACUGGGUCAGACCUGGCUAUGUGACCGGUCCCUUCCACUUACUGGCUGUGUGACCUUGGGCAAGCUACUUAACUUCUCUGAGCUCAACUUCCUCAGCUGUAAAAUGAGGAUAAUAAUUACAGUCCCUACCUCAUAGAGCACUGCAUGAAUUGUGAUGUAUGUGAAGACCCUGACACAUAGGAAAUGCUCAGUGACUGUGAAUUAUUAGAGAUCAUCCAUCCAAUCCAACUCUUCCAUUUUACAAACAAGGAAACUGAGGCUCAGAGAGCUGGAAGGAGAGCUAACAUCUGGCAUGGUGUCUUUACAACUUGCUACAGGGGUCCAGCCGGGUGGCACAGUGGUUAAGUUCACACGUUCUGCUUCGGUGGCCUGGGGUUUGCCGGUUCGGAUCCUGGGUGUGGGCCUACACACCAUACUGUGGUAGGCAUCCCACAUAUAAAGUAGAGGAAGAUGGGCAUGGAUGUUAGCUCAGGGCCAGUCUUCCUCAGCAAAAUGAGGCGGAUUGGUGGCAGAUGUUAGCCAGGGCUAAUCUUCCUCAAAAAUAGAAUAAAAUAAAAAUAAAACUUGCUACAGAGCAGGGGGAGUGGAAGUUCCUGGAGUCUUGAAGCUCCUCCACCACUGCCCGCAUCAUCGCGAUCUGGAACCCAGAUCCAAAGGCCCCCUGCUGAGUUCACGGGGCACACCCUCCUGCCUUCAGGAGCAGGCAUGCUUGGGUGAGUGCUGAGGUCGCAAAUACCUUCUGGGAUGAGACAACUACAGGUGACGUCCAGCGGCUGUGAGUCAGGGAGACCCAUCUGCAAGGUGACGAGUGAGGCUGGGCACUCAGGCCGCAGGGGUGCUGGGCAUGCAGGGGUCGUGCCAGACGUCAGACAUCCAAAUAGGGUGGGCACCUCCUCCCGCAACAACCCCGCCCUCACACUCCUCCCCCAGCUCCCACUCACCCCCUCCAGUGCCCAGGCCUUCGCGUGGGGGUCCGUGGGGGCAGGGCAGGCUGCCUCCCGUCCAGAUAUUCCAGGCGGACGUUCUGAACAGUCCCUCAUGAAUGAGCACCUGGGGGCCAUACGCUCCUUGAAACUGAAGGUGGGAGCCCUGUUCUGGGGACAGGUUCUCAAAGGGGACUUCUCUCCACAAAGAGAAGAUGAUCAAGAGCAGCAAGAGCAGAUGAUCCAGGUUCAAACAUGGGCCUGUCCUAGAGUCCUAGGACACCUCCUGUCUAAGCCAGAGGUUCUCAAACAGGUUUUGCUCCUGGGGACACCUGGCAAUGCCUGGAGACAUGUUUGGUUGUUAUACUGGGAGGGAGGGUGUGCAUGACCUACUGGCAUCUAGUGGGGAGAGGCCAAGGGUGUUGCUAAAUAUCCUACAAUGCACACAGCACAGACACACAACGAAGAACAUUCCAGCCCCCGUGUCAGUAGUACAGCGGCCUCGAGGAGGAAGGGAGGCCGUGCCUGUGAAGAACCCGGGACUGGGCCUGGCUCAUGCUCUGUGUUGGCAAGGGACCUUUCUUUUCUAAGGCCGUCUCUCAGCCUGGACACCCAAGCCAGUGGGCAGAGGUGGAGUGGGCAUAUACUCACAUGAGAAUUCUGAGAAAUGAUCUUGGUGUUUCUGCCACACCCAGCCUGGGGCAGAGUUUCUAGAAGAGUCUGGUGCUCACUCAUGAACCCUUUCAACAAGGACAAAGCAGGCCCUGGAAGGAGCGGCCCGCCCUCGGGCUGCUCACCCUGCCACCUCCAGCAGGCCUCCCCGUGACCCAUCACCCACCCCUCUCACUUGCAUUUGUGAGGGAGAGAGGGGAGAGGAUGGGGCAGAAGCCCUCCUCCGAGCUCUCCUCAGACCCGCCAAGGCCGCGCAGGGAGGAGGAUGUGCUAGCGGCAGCCCUGCACAGAGGCAGGGACGGCUCCAGGGCACCUUCGAAGGUGUGUGAAGCUGAGUCAAGGAGCUGGCAAGCCCUCCUGCCACUCACCUCAGCAGGCAGCUGGUUCUCCUUCAGCCUCAGCAGCUGUGGGGUCAAGUGUCUGCUCUACAGAAGCUGGUCCCAGAUAAGCCACCGCCUUCUUCCCUGGGAUGGGGUGGUGUAGCCCCAUCAGAACCCCCACACCCUGGCCCCUGAGCUCCGCUUUGCUGGUUUACCCAAUUCAAGUAAAAUGGAUUAUCGGAUUACGGUCGGAGUGGGUGGAAGGGUCAGGUCGAUCGACAGAGACGGGACUCUUAGACCCCUUUCUGACACUGCUCAUUUGUGGGGUCUGGGGGAUUGGGGCAUUGCAAUCACACCCUCUCCCCUCGGGUCUCAAUUUCAGGCACGUGUUUAAUGGGGCACACCACCUUCCAAACCUUCGGUGUCAGGCUGUGUGGGGGUGGGGCUUCUGUCUGCGUCUGGAAGCCCAGCUGACUUCACGACAAGCCCAGACACGCAGCUGUUUCUGAAACAGAAGCCGCAGCGGUGGGGGAAGCGCCAAGCGCCGAGGCUGGGGGCAGAGAGGAGACCCCCGGACACCAGACUGAUGUGUACAGUUAACAGGGCCUAACCAAAGGGUCUGCACUGCGUCUCCAGGUGGGAGCUGCCUCCUGCCAUGGGAGUCUUCUCUGGGGAAACGUUUUUGUCUUGAUUGGAAAUUUCUUCCUGACGUGUGACAUGUGACCUUCACCUCUUCUUCUAGAGCUUGGCUCUGCUGCCAGGCUGAGGCUGCCCACCUCCCCCGAAGUCCCCUCCCCUCCAAUACUCUGUUCCUUCCCAGGGAUGCUCAGAGGCUGCAGGGCAUCUUGCCUUAUGCUGGUCCUCCCCUGCAGGGACGCCAAAGCUGGGGGAGGGGCACCUGGGCCUGUCUGGCUUCCUGCCCAAGGUAUGAUCCCGUUGUGAAAGUUCUGGGCCUAGGCCCCUAAGGAGGGGUUCCUCCCAAGCACCCUCAUCCCUCUGGUCCCUCCAGCUUUCUCCUCA
Equus asinus (donkey) is the source of this 8702-nucleotide long non-coding RNA. NCBI's taxonomy places the organism in Eukaryota, Metazoa, Chordata, Mammalia, Perissodactyla, Equidae. The record is from Ensembl.